Molecule: RNA transcript, 1025 nt
Organism: Sapajus apella (tufted capuchin)
Lineage: Eukaryota; Metazoa; Chordata; Mammalia; Primates; Cebidae
Gene name: 60S ribosomal protein L8-like
Exons: 4
Source: RefSeq, a predicted model, not a curated record
AUGGCGUUAGAAGAUGGGGUGCCUGAUAACCUCUACACCAUGUCCCUUAUCCACAUGAUAUUUUUUGCUGCUACUUCAAAGCCAGGCAUGGAGUUCUGGAACUCUGCGGGUGUGAGCUUGGAAUCCAGACUCACUGGUGGUAGCAGAUGCUGCUUGCCAAAUCACAACACUCUUUCUGUGUUUGAAAAAGACAUCCCAAAUCUUAAAGGACUCAUCGCCAAGGGCCGUGUGAUCCAUGGACAGAGGAAGGGCGCCGGGUCUGUGUUCUGCGCGCACGUGAAGCACGGUAAGGGCGCCGCGUGCCUGCGCGCAGUGGAUUUUGCCGAGCCGGCACGGCUACAUCAAGGGCAUCGUGAAGGACAUCAUCCACGACCUGAGCCGCGGCGCGCCCCUCGCCAAGGUGGUCUUCCGGAAUCCCUACCAGUUUAAGAAGAGGGCAGAGCUGUUCAUUGCCCCCGAGAGCAUUCACAUGGGCCAGUUUGUGUAUUGCAGCAAGAAGGCCCCGCUCAACACUGGCAAUCCGCUCCCUGUGGGCACCAUGCCUGAGGGUACGAUCGUGUGCUGCCUGGUGGAGAAGCCUGGAGACCGUGGCAAGCUGGCCCAGGCAUCAGGGAACUAUGCCACCGUUUUCUCCCACAACCCUGAGACCAAGAAGACCCAUGUGAAGCUGCCCUCUGGCUCCAAGAAGGUUAUCUCCUCAGCCAACAGAUCUGUGGUUGGUGUGGUGGCUGGAGUGGCCGAACUGAAAAACCCAUCUUGAAGUGUGGCCGGGCCUACCACAAAUAUAAGACAAAGAGGAACUGCUGGCCACGGGUACGGGGUGUGGCCAUGAACCCUGUGGAGCAUCCAUUUGAAGGUGGCAACCACCAUCACAUCGGCAUGCCCUCCACCAUCCACAGAGAUGCCUCAGCUGGCCGCAAAGUGGGUCUCAUAGCUGCCGGUGGAACUGAAUGUCUCCGGGGAACCAAGACUGUGCAGGAGAAAGAGAACUAGUGAUGAGGGGCUCAAUAAAGUUUGUCUUUAUG